This 253-nucleotide ribosomal RNA is filed under the name uncultured bacterium. RNAcentral describes it as "partial 16S ribosomal RNA". It matches the Rfam family "Bacterial small subunit ribosomal RNA", at positions 524 to 776 of the family's 1533-position model. The record is from RNAcentral.
UACGUAGGGGGCAAGCGUUAUCCGGAUUUACUGGGUGUAAAGGGAGCGUAGACGGUUAUGCAAGUCAGAAGUGAAAGCCCAAAGCUCAACUUCGGGACUGCUUUUGAAACUGUGUAACUAGAGUGCAGGAGGGGUAAGCGGAAUUCCUAGUGUAGCGGUGAAGUGCGUAGAUAUUAGGAGGAACACCGGCGGCGAAGGCGGCUUACUGGACUGUAACUGACGUUGAGGCUCGAAAGCGUGGGGAGCAAACAGG